GCCUGAAUAGCUGGCUCAAUUGGUUAGCGUGUGGUGCUUGUAACGGCAAGGUCACAGGUUUGAUCCUUGAAUGGGGCA
Molecule: non-coding RNA, 78 nt
Organism: Podarcis lilfordi (Lilford's wall lizard)
Lineage: Eukaryota; Metazoa; Chordata; Lepidosauria; Squamata; Lacertidae
Source: the annotation of a GenBank genome assembly